This 613-nucleotide ribosomal RNA is filed under the name uncultured bacterium. RNAcentral's name for it is "bacterial SSU rRNA". It matches the Rfam family "Bacterial small subunit ribosomal RNA", at positions 37 to 683 of the family's 1533-position model. The record is from RNAcentral.
UGGCGGCGUGCCUAACAAUGCAAGUCGAACGAGAAAGUGGAGCAAUCCAUGAGUAAAGUGGCGACCGGGUGAGUAACACGUGACUAACCUACCUUCGAGUGGGGGAUAACCUCGGGAAACCGAGGCUAAUACCGCAUAACAUCGCAAGAUCAAAGCAGCAAUGCGCUGGAAGAGGGGGUCGCGGCUGAUUAGCUAGUUGGCGGGGUAACGGCCCACCAAGGCGAAGAUCGGUAUCCGGCCUGAGAGGGCGCACGGACACACUGGAACUGAAACACGGUCCAGACUCCUACGGGAGGCAGCAGUGGGGAAUUUUGCGCAAUGGGGGAAACCCUGACGCAGCAACGCCGCGUGGAGGAUGAAGCCCCUUGGGGCGUAAACUCCUUUCGACCAAGACGAUAAUGACGGUACUGGUGGAAGAAGCACCGGCUAACUCUGUGCCAGCAGCCGCGGUAAUACAGAGGGUGCGAGCGUUGUUCGGAAUUAUUGGGCGUAAAGGGCGCGUAGGCGGUGCCACAAGUCACCUGUGAAAUCCCCGGGCUUAACUCGGGGCCUGCAGGCGAAACUGUGGUGCUGGAGUGUGGGAAAGGUGCGUGGAAUUCCCGGUGUAACGGUG